Molecule: ribosomal RNA, 478 nt
Filed under: uncultured bacterium
Lineage: Bacteria
Description: partial 16S ribosomal RNA
Rfam family: Bacterial small subunit ribosomal RNA
Source: RNAcentral
GAUGAACGCUAGCGGCAGGCCUAACACAUGCAAGUCCAGGGAGAAGCCCUUUCGGGGGCAGAAACCGGCGCACGGGUGCGUAACGCGUAUGCAACCUACCUUUCACAGGGGGAUAGCCCGAAGAAAUUUGGAUUAAUACCCCAUAAUAUUAUUGGAUGGCAUCAUUUGAUAAUUAAAACUGCGGUGGUGAAAGAUGGGCAUGCGUCCUAUUAGCUAGUUGGAGUGGUAACGGCACCCCAAGGCUACGAUAGGUAGGGGUCCUGAGAGGGAGAUCCCCCACACUGGUACUGAGACAGGGACCAGACUCCUACGGGAGGCAGCAGUGAGGAAUAUUGGUCAAGGGUCGGAAGACUGAACCAGCCAUGCCGCGUGCAGGAAGAAUGCCUUAUGGGUUGUAAACUGCUUUUAUAUGGGAAGAAUAAGGCGUACGUGUACGUUGAUGACGGUUCCAUAUGAAUAAGCAUCGGCUAACUCCGUG